GACGGAGGAGGCAAGCGUUAUCCGGAAUUAUUGGGCGUAAAGGGUACUUAGGCGGCUGGUCAAGUCUGGGGUCAAAGGCCACAGCUCAACUGUGGGAAGGCCCUGGAAACUGACCGGCUAGAGUGAGGUAGGGGUUGCGGGAAUUCCCGGUGUAGCGGUGAAAUGCGUAGAUAUCGAGAGGAACGCCGGUGACGAAGGUGGGUUGCGGGACCGACACUGACACUGAGGCGCGCAAGCUAGGGGAGCAAACGGG
This 253-nucleotide ribosomal RNA is filed under the name uncultured bacterium. RNAcentral's name for it is "partial 16S ribosomal RNA". It matches the Rfam family "Bacterial small subunit ribosomal RNA", at positions 524 to 776 of the family's 1533-position model. The record is from RNAcentral.